AUGAGAGAGAUGGAGGCACUGAAGAAGAAAGGCCACAGAUCCUUGGCCAAGGCCAAACCAGUGAAGCCCUCCUACAACUACAGUGCCCCAUCCAGGCACAAGCGUUCCAAGAGUGAUUUGGAGGAGAAAAAUGCCAAGGAUGCGCUGCAUUCUUCGCACAAAGCGUCUCAUAAUCAGCCAAAGUUGAAUGGUACAAACUCAAACUCUCAUCUGCAGAGCGAAACCAACAAGGGAAUCCACCCCAAGACUGACACGCAAGACUCCCUCAGAAAAGAGAUUGUGCAGCUGGAGAGGCACCUUGACGAUCAGCAAACGGUGCGCGGCGCACUGGAGAAAGCGUUGGGGCCCAACCCUGCUCCGGUCACUCUCUCCAAUGAGAGCCCAAUCCUCCAGCCCACUAACCAGCUGAUAAGGGAGGUUGCGACAUUGGAGCUGGAGAUCAAGCACCUGGAGCAGUACCUCCUAACAUUGUACAGGAAGGCAUUUGAGCAAGCGCCCAUGGUCCCAUCCUCACUUGUCGUUCGCCAGGAGGAGCCGGCGCCGCCAAAGCCGUCGGUGAGCUCACGGUCUGCGCUGAUGGAGGAAACGCCCAAGCCAAAGGCUACCGCCGGAAGAGGUGGCGAUGCAAUGCUCCACUACAGCUGCCCUCCGCUUAGCAAGAGGAGGAAUGGCACGAUGAUGGAGGACUGCUCUCCGUCCACAUGCCCAACCAAGGCCAUGGACUCUGAUCAUGGCCUGCGCAGCCAGUCUGCGCUGUCGUUCCGCGGCGUGUGCUCGUCGAGGAUAUCGCCGUCGGAGGAGAGCCUGGCGAGAGCUCUCCGCUCGUGCCACUCUCAACCUUUCUCAUUCUUGGAGGAAGGAGAGGCUGCUACUACAUCAGGAGUGGUAAGCCUAGCUGACUAUCUGGGGACUAAUGUGGCCGACCACAUCCCUGAAACCCCCAACAACCUUUCUGAGGAGAUGGUGAGGUGCAUGGCAGGGGUGUACUGCAAGCUUGCAGAUCCACCUCUGGUGCACCACCGUGCAUCUUCGUCGCCCACGUCGUCGCUCUCGUCGACGACGAGUGUGGUCUCCCCACAGUACCUUGGGGACAUGUGGAGCCCCAAUUGCAGGAGAGAAGCCACUCUGGACUCGCGGCUGAUCAACCCGUUCCACGUCGAGGGGCUCAAGGAGUUCAGUGGACCGUACAACACCAUGGUUGAGGUCCCGUCGAUUUCCCGCGACCGCCCAAGGCUUAGAGAAGUCGAAGAUUUGCUCCAAACUUACAAGUUAAUUCUUCAUCGGUUGGAGAGCGUGGACCUCCGGAGGAUGGCCAACGAGGAGAAGCUCGCCUUCUGGAUCAACAUACACAAUGCAUUGUUGAUGCAUGCUUACCUCAAGCAUGGCAUCCCGCAUAACCAUCUGAAGAAGACAUCACUUCUUGUCAAGGCUGAGUGCAAGAUCGCCGGGCGCAGCAUCAACGCGGCGGCCAUCCAGGGGCUGGUCCUCGGAUGCAGCACCCACUGUCCCGGACAGUGGCUGAGGACUUUGCUGCACCCAAGGAUGAAAAGCAGAGGGAGCAAAGCAGGGGGGCAAUGGCAAGCCUUUGCCAUCCAUCGACCCGAGCCUCUUCUGCGCUUCGCGCUUUGCUCCGGCAGCCACUCCGAUCCCGCGGUGAGGGUGUACACGCCGAAGCGGCUGUUCCAGCAGCUCGAGGCGGCCAAGGAGGAGUACAUCCGCGCCACGGUGGGGGUCCGCCCGCCGGACCAUCAGCACCGCCGCGGCAGGGUGCUGCUUCCCAAGCUGGUGGAGGCGUACGCCAGGGACGUCGGCCUCUCGCCGGAGCGGCUCCUCGACGCGGCGCAGCGGUGCCUGCCGGAGAGCGUGCGGGCAGCGGUGCAGCGAUGCCGGCAGCAGCAGCAGGGGACGACGGCGAGCAAGGCGGUGGUGGAGUGGGCGCCGCACAGGCAGGGCUUUCGGUACCUGCUCGCCAGGGACCUCGCGUUCCCGCACCUCAGCUGA
RNAcentral lists this ribosomal RNA (2001 nucleotides) under Triticum aestivum (bread wheat). Its description in RNAcentral is "partial small subunit ribosomal RNA". Lineage: Eukaryota; Viridiplantae; Streptophyta; Magnoliopsida; Poales; Poaceae. The record is from RNAcentral.